This is a long non-coding RNA of Hypomesus transpacificus, 732 nucleotides long. RefSeq lists it as uncharacterized. NCBI's taxonomy places the organism in Eukaryota, Metazoa, Chordata, Actinopteri, Osmeriformes, Osmeridae. The record is from RefSeq and is a predicted model, not a curated record. The transcript has 5 exons.
GCGAAGAAGAUGGAGGGAAUUUCAGGUUUAAGAUGAGGAGAAGCUUUUUCAUGACACCCAAGCAUGCCUGAUGCAUGUAGUCAAUGGGGAAGGCUUUUACCAUGUCGAUAGGCAAGUUUAGCAGGGGAGUGUUGCCAUGAUGGUGCUCUUCUUGGGUUUGAUGUCUGAAUGCUUCGUCUGUUCGCAGGGCCACUAGAUUGUAGAUCAUUGAGGUCUGCCACCAUGUCAUCUAAAAAAUGCAGGUCGGUUGGCCGCUUGUUUCCGCACGUCAGUGUGAUUGGGAAAACAGUGAUGGGCUUGAGGUGGACAGCACAUAGGACAGGCCACAUUGCUUUCCCUGAGCUCUUGAACAGCGGCAAUCCAUCAAUGUUGGGGGACAGAUUAACUGUGUCGCAGUCAGACAGCUGUUCAAAUGGCAGGGUACGAGCGGAGGAUGGGAGAUCCGAGUGGCCAUGAUUCUGAAGAAUCUUCAACAACUGAUCAACGGCAUUGUUCUUCACCUGACAGUCAGUGGGUACCUCCCCAUCAUCCUCAAACGCUACCUCCCUGUCGUCUUCAUAGGCUUCUCCCCUAUCAUCGUCCAAGGCUACCUCCAUGUCAUCCUGCAAGUAUUCCUCCAACUCUAAUGAUGCUGUAAUGGACUGUGGGGAUGACAUGUUUUCAGUGUCGUCCACGUGGUUGCCCAUGUGGCUGUCAUCAAUCAGAUUCUCUGUGUCUAUCUUUUUGAGCACA